RNAcentral lists this ribosomal RNA (732 nucleotides) under Pseudomonas sp. RNAcentral describes it as "bacterial SSU rRNA". It matches the Rfam family "Bacterial small subunit ribosomal RNA", at positions 62 to 789 of the family's 1533-position model. The record is from RNAcentral. Lineage: Bacteria; Pseudomonadati; Pseudomonadota; Gammaproteobacteria; Pseudomonadales; Pseudomonadaceae.
UCGAGCGGUAGAGAGAAGCUUGCUUCUCUUGAGAGCGGCGGACGGGUGAGUAAUGCCUAGGAAUCUGCCUGGUAGUGGGGGAUAACGUUCGGAAACGGACGCUAAUACCGCAUACGUCCUACGGGAGAAAGCAGGGGACCUUCGGGCCUUGCGCUAUCAGAUGAGCCUAGGUCGGAUUAGCUAGUUGGUGGGGUAAUGGCUCACCAAGGCGACGAUCCGUAACUGGUCUGAGAGGAUGAUCAGUCACACUGGAACUGAGACACGGUCCAGACUCCUACGGGAGGCAGCAGUGGGGAAUAUUGGACAAUGGGCGAAAGCCUGAUCCAGCCAUGCCGCGUGUGUGAAGAAGGUCUUCGGAUUGUAAAGCACUUUAAGUUGGGAGGAAGGGUUGUAGAUUAAUACUCUGCAAUUUUGACGUUACCGACAGAAUAAGCACCGGCUAACUCUGUGCCAGCAGCCGCGGUAAUACAGAGGGUGCAAGCGUUAAUCGGAAUUACUGGGCGUAAAGCGCGCGUAGGUGGUUUGUUAAGUUGGAUGUGAAAUCCCCGGGCUCAACCUGGGAACUGCAUUCAAAACUGACUGACUAGAGUAUGGUAGAGGGUGGUGGAAUUUCCUGUGUAGCGGUGAAAUGCGUAGAUAUAGGAAGGAACACCAGUGGCGAAGGCGACCACCUGGACUAAUACUGACACUGAGGUGCGAAAGCGUGGGGAGCAAACAGGAUUAGAUACCCUG